RNAcentral lists this small RNA (80 nucleotides) under Hydrogenophaga crassostreae. RNAcentral describes it as "int-alpA RNA". It matches the Rfam family "int-alpA RNA". From Rfam's summary of the family: Acidobacteria (1 example), Planctomycetes (1 example), Proteobacteria. Environment (Lake Washington) Lineage: Bacteria; Pseudomonadati; Pseudomonadota; Betaproteobacteria; Burkholderiales; Comamonadaceae. The record is from Rfam by way of RNAcentral.
GCCACGCCUAGCCUUCGGCUGAUCCCCGAUGGUGAAAACCGGGUUUCCCUGACCCGGCGGCGCUGGCUUCUUCUCGGGGG